GGCAAUCUGCCCUUCACUCUGGGACAAGCCCUGGAAACGGGGUCUAAUACCGGAUAACACUUCUUCGGGCAUCUGAAGAGGUUAAAAGCUCCGGCGGUGAAGGAUGAGCCCGCGGCCUAUCAGCUUGUUGGUGGGGUAAUGGCCUACCAAGGCGACGACGGGUAGCCGGCCUGAGAGGGCGACCGGCCACACUGGGACUGAGACACGGCCCAGACUCCUACGGGAGGCAGCAGUGGGGAAUAUUGCACAAUGGGCGAAAGCCUGAUGCAGCGACGCCGCGUGAGGGAUGACGGCCUUCGGGUUGUAAACCUCUUUCAGCAGGGAAGAAGCGAAAGUGACGGUACCUGCAGAAGAAGCGCCGGCUAACUACGUGCCAGCAGCCGCGGUAAUACGUAGGGCGCAAGCGUUGUCCGGAAUUAUUGGGCGUAAAGAGCUCGUAGGCGGCUUGUCGCGUCGGAUGUGAAAGCCCGGGGCUUAACCCCGGGUCUGCAUUCGAUACGG
RNAcentral lists this ribosomal RNA (501 nucleotides) under Streptomyces albidochromogenes. RNAcentral's name for it is "bacterial SSU rRNA". It matches the Rfam family "Bacterial small subunit ribosomal RNA", at positions 120 to 635 of the family's 1533-position model. The record is from RNAcentral. Lineage: Bacteria; Bacillati; Actinomycetota; Actinomycetes; Kitasatosporales; Streptomycetaceae.